AACGCACAUUGCACCCGGUGGUAUUCUGCCGGGUAUGCCUGUUCGAGCGUCAUUUCUACCCUCAGGCCUUGCUGCUUAGGCGGCGUAGGUACUGGUGUUGGGAACUUGCAGCGUUGGUUGGAUAUCUUCCAGCCGCUGUAGUCCCUAAUUUCAUCGGCGUACUCGUGUACGUUUGCCCCCUGCGUAGUGGUUUUUCUUUCUCGCAUCGGGCCGUGCCGCCGUACCGCCGCACAAUCUUUUACAAUUAUGAGUUUGACCUCGAAUCAGGUAGGGUUACCCGCUGAACUUAA
RNAcentral lists this unclassified non-coding RNA (290 nucleotides) under uncultured Microascales. Its description in RNAcentral is "sequence contains 5.8S rRNA gene, ITS2, 28S rRNA gene". Lineage: Eukaryota; Fungi; Ascomycota; Sordariomycetes; Microascales. The record is from RNAcentral.